GCUAAACGCUCCUCUCUCCUAGCAUGCUUCCUUUCUCGGCUAGCCUUGUUCUUCGCCCUCUUAGCCUCAAACUGAUCAGACAGAGUCUUCUCCCUAGCCUUCUCAGCCUUUGACUUGUGGAUACUCUCCAUCAAGACACGCUUGUUCUUGAACACAUUACCCUUAACACGCAUGUACAUGUCAUGGUACAUGUGCUUGUCAAUCUUCUUCGUCUCUCUGUAUUUCUUCAACAGACGCCUAAGAACACGCAUCCUACGCAUCCACAGUACCUUUGUUGGCAACCUAGCUUCACGGGUACCCUUCCUCUUACCUAUUUAAUCAUAAACACAGGAAAAA
Molecule: small RNA, 336 nt
Filed under: Arabidopsis thaliana (thale cress)
Lineage: Eukaryota; Viridiplantae; Streptophyta; Magnoliopsida; Brassicales; Brassicaceae
Description: ATSL001320
Source: RNAcentral